GGUACCACAUUGCUCUGUUUUUGGUUGAAGCACUCGAUAUAAUCAAAACACAUGAAAUUGAAAACACUGUUCGAUUUAGUACCAUAUUCUCAAUGAAAGACUUUGGACCACUGAUUUAAGAAAGAAAAAACACAAGGUUUACUGGUCAAGUGAUGGAGUAAAGUUUUCCGGUUUGCAAUUUAUGUUUGUUGGAACAAAAAUUUUGGAUUGUCAUCACGGAAAAGAUAGGAACCUAAAUUUGAAACUAUCAGUUAAAGAAAAAAGACAAAAGGAACUGCAAAACUAUCAUGGGUGUAGAAGGAAACACACGGCGAGACGAAAUGGUCCUGGAGGAGGCCUCGUCAUGUGAAAUCAAAUGCACAGUUUUUCUGGCUAUAAUAUUUAAUGAAACUUGUCCAAAUAAACCAAAGAUUUAUAUAUUCUUUUAAGCUAAAAUCGUUGAUUUGAAAAGAGCAGCUUAUUCCACUUCACAUCUGCUUUUAAUUCGAAAAUUCGUAGUGCAAGGCACAACAACUUUCUUUAUCCAACUUAACUAUCAUGCGUUUUCUUUCUCCAGCUGACAAAAAAGUUUGUACGAACACCACGCAUGCUAGCUACGGCUUCAAAGUUUCAUAAUCAGUUCAGUAUGGAAAUCUUUUCACAAGUCAGUCGCAAUAA
Long non-coding RNA from Hydractinia symbiolongicarpus, 657 nucleotides. RefSeq lists it as uncharacterized. The record is from RefSeq and is a predicted model, not a curated record. The transcript is spliced from 3 exons. Lineage: Eukaryota; Metazoa; Cnidaria; Hydrozoa; Anthoathecata; Hydractiniidae.